RNAcentral lists this ribosomal RNA (955 nucleotides) under Prosuberites sp. SX209. RNAcentral's name for it is "SSU rRNA". The record is from RNAcentral. Lineage: Eukaryota; Metazoa; Porifera; Demospongiae; Agelasida; Hymerhabdiidae.
AGACUAAGCCAUGCAUGUCUAAGUAUAAACGUUCGUAUACUGUGAAACUGCGAAUGGCUCAYUAAAUCAGUUAUAGUUUAUUUGAUGGUUCCUUACUACUUGGACAACCGUGGUAAUUCUAGAGCUAAUACAUGCAGAAAGUCCCGACUUUUGGAAGGGAUGUAUUUAUUAGAUCCAAAACCAGCGCGAGUGUGGCUCGGUUGCUUGGUGAUUCAUGAUAACUGCUCGAAUCGCAUGGCCUUGUGUCGGCGAUGAUCCAUUCAAAUUUCUGCCCUAUCAACUUUCGAUGGCAAGGUAGUGGCUUGCCAUGGUGACAACGGGUGACGGAGAAUUAGGGUUCGAUUCCGGAGAGGGAGCCUGAGAAACAGCUACCACAUCCAAGGAAGGCAGCAGGCGCGCAAAUUACCCAAUCCCGACUCGGGGAGGUAGUGACAAUAAAUAACAAUGCUGGGCUAUCCAUAGUCUGGCAAUUGGAAUGAGUACAAUCUAAACCCCUUAACGAGGAACAAUUGGAGGGCAAGUCUGGUGCCAGCAGCCGCGGUAAUUCCAGCUCCAAUAGCGUAUAUUAAAGUUGUUGCAGUUAAAAAGCUCGUAGUUGGAUUUCAGGGAAGCCCGGCUGGUCCGUCGCGAGGCGAGUACUGGUCGACCGCCCUUCCUCUCGAAAGCCCCGACUGCUCUUCAUUGUAGUGGUCGGGGAGUUCGGGACGUUUACUUUGAAAAAAUUAGAGUGUUCAAGGCAGGCAAUCGCCUGAAUACAUUAGCAUGGAAUAAUGGAAGAGGACCUCGGUCCUAUUUUGUUGGUUUCUAGGGCCGAAGUAAUGAUUGAGAGGGACAGUUGGGGGCAUUCGUAUUUAAUUGUCAGAGGUGAAAUUCUCGGAUUUAUGAAAGACGAACAACUGCGAAAGCAUUUGCCAAGGAUGUUUUCAUUAAUCAAGAACGAAAGUUAGGGGUUCGA